Molecule: ribosomal RNA, 374 nt
Filed under: Actinotignum schaalii
Lineage: Bacteria; Bacillati; Actinomycetota; Actinomycetes; Actinomycetales; Actinomycetaceae
Description: bacterial SSU rRNA
Rfam family: Bacterial small subunit ribosomal RNA
Source: RNAcentral
UGGGUGGAUUAGUGGCGAACGGGUGAGUAAUACGUGGGUAACCUGCCCUCCUUUUUGGGAUAAGCCUUGGAAACGGGGUCUAAUACCGAAUAUUCUGGCGCUCUCGCAUGGGGGUGUUGGGAAAGCUUUUGUGUGAAGGGGGAUGGGCUCGCGGCCUAUCAGCUUGUUGGUGGGGUGAUGGCCUACCAAGGCGGUGACGGGUAGCCGGCCUGAGAGGGUGACCGGCCACAUUGGGACUGAGAUACGGCCCAGACUCCUACGGGAGGCAGCAGUGGGGGAUAUUGCACAAUGGGCGAAAGCCUGAUGCAGCGACGCCGCGUGGGGGAUGAAGGCUUUCGGGUUGUAAACCUCUUUCGCUAUCGAACAAGGCCCGC